This 507-nucleotide ribosomal RNA is filed under the name uncultured bacterium. RNAcentral's name for it is "partial 16S ribosomal RNA". It matches the Rfam family "Bacterial small subunit ribosomal RNA", at positions 30 to 523 of the family's 1533-position model. The record is from RNAcentral.
AUUGAACGCUGGCGGCAUGCCUUACACAUGCAAGUCGAACGGCAGCAUGUCUUGUAGCAAUACAAGACGAUGGCGAGUGGCGAACGGGUGAGUAAUAUAUCGGAACAUGCCAUUUAGUGGGGGAUAGCCCGGCGAAAGCUGGAUUAAUACCGCAUACGCCCUGAGGGGGAAAGCGGGGGAUCGCAAGACCUCGCGCGAUUAGAGCGGCCGAUGCCUGAUUAGCUUGUUGGUGGGGAAAAAGCCCACCAAGGCGACGAUCAGUUGCUGGUCUGAGAGGACGAUCAGCCACACUGGGACUGAGACACGGCCCAGACUCCUACGGGAGGCAGCAGUGGGGAAUUUUGGACAAUGGGGGCAACCCUGAUCCAGCAAUGCCGCGUGAGUGAAGAAGGCCUUCGGGUUGUAAAGCUCUUUUGUCAGGGAAGAAACACCGGCUCUAACACAGUCCGGGAAUGACGGUACCUGAAGAAUAAGCACCGGCUAACUACGUGCCAGCCGCCGCGGUAA